Molecule: ribosomal RNA, 475 nt
Filed under: uncultured bacterium
Lineage: Bacteria
Description: partial 16S ribosomal RNA
Rfam family: Bacterial small subunit ribosomal RNA
Source: RNAcentral
AGCGAACGCUGGCGGCAGGCCUAACACAUGCAAGUCGAACGAACCUUUCGGGGUUAGUGGCGGACGGGUGAGUAACACGUGGGAACGUGCCUUUAGGUUCGGAAUAACUCAGGGAAACUUGUGCUAAUACCGAAUGUGCCCUUCGGGGGAAAGAUUAAUCGCCUUUAGAGCGGCCCGCGUCUGAUUAGCUAGUUGGUUGAGGUAAUGGCUCACCAAGGCGACGAUCAGUAGCUGGUCUGAGAGGAUGAUCAGCCACAUUGGGACUGAGACACGGCCCAAACUGCAGGGGGGGGCAGGGGCGGGAAAUGGACGGGAAGGGGGGAAAGGCAGGCGGGGCCAUGCAGGGAGAAGGAGGAAGUGCUGGGCAUUGUAAGUCUCCUCCACCGGAGGCGAUAAUGGGCGUGGAGGGAGAAGAAGCCCCGGCUCACCUCGGGGUCGCGGCGGCGGUAAUAAGAGGAGGGCACCGGGUCUUACC